This 372-nucleotide ribosomal RNA is filed under the name uncultured organism. RNAcentral's name for it is "bacterial SSU rRNA". It matches the Rfam family "Bacterial small subunit ribosomal RNA", at positions 527 to 896 of the family's 1533-position model. The record is from RNAcentral.
CUAGGGGGCUAGCGUUGUCCGGAAUCAUUGGGCGUAAAGCGCGUGUAGGCGGUUCGGUAAGUCCGCUGUGAAAUCGGGGGGCUCAACCCUCGAAAGCCGGUGGAUACUGUCGGACUAGAGUGCGGAAGAGGCGAGUGGAAUUCCUGGUGUAGCGGUGAAAUGCGCAGAUAUCAGGAGGAACACCAAUUGCGAAGGCAGCUCGCUGGGACGUUACUGACGCUGAGACGCGAAAGCGUGGGGAGCAAACAGGAUUAGAUACCCUGGUAGUCCACGCCGUAAACGAUGGGCACUAGGUGUGGGGGGGUGUCGACUCCCUCCGUGCCGAAGCUAACGCAUUAAGUGCCCCGCCUGGGGAGUACGGCCGCAAGGCUA